Triticum aestivum (bread wheat) is the source of this 1427-nucleotide long non-coding RNA. RefSeq lists it as uncharacterized. The transcript is spliced from 8 exons. NCBI's taxonomy places the organism in Eukaryota, Viridiplantae, Streptophyta, Magnoliopsida, Poales, Poaceae. The record is from RefSeq and is a predicted model, not a curated record.
GUGUCCCGAGCAUAUGCUGCAUCGCCCCCGCCGCUUGGCCUUGCUCAGCACCGGCGCAGCCCACCCCGCCGCCUGACCUCGCCUCGCACCGGAGGCGACCACCACCGUCCUCGCCGCUCCCUCCCCUCCCCUCCCCCAGCCCAAUCUAGAUGUCUAACCUGUCCCCUCCCAUCUCUGAGCAUAGCAUGCUCCGUCGGCGGCGGCGGCAGCGGCGGCUCCUUCUGGCCGGAUUGAGGCGCGGAGACCCAUGCUCCUCUCAUCUGGUUGGAUCGCCUCCUCCGGUAGGAUCUCCUCUCCGAGCUGGAUGUUGAGCACGAGAUCCCUGCUCUAUGGAUCGCCUCCCCUCAUACGGUCACCCCGACGCGGCGACCCUGCAUCCUGAGACCACCAACGCCGCCUCCUUUGACCACGGGAAGGCACCUAGAUGCACGUCAUGGAUGAGAUAUUUUAUAUGUCCACAAGGCAUUUGAUGACAAUCCAAACAGGCACUGUAUGUUAUCCCUAACCAAUUGCAGAGGUUGCAGUACAAACAUGUAGGAUACAGAUGCAUUCUAUAGUGUUCUUCAUGAUGGCUGUACUGACGGACAUGAUUGCCCUUGUCUAAAUACUAAGAUCCAACUUUACAUGCAGUCGUACCCAUGCCAAUUUGUUGGAGCAGAGAUCAUCUGACUUAACUGAGUCUAAGUCAGAGGGAUGUCCAUCCAUGCCGCAUCGGACGACAAUGAAAUCUAGAGAGGCUCUAUGGCUCAGGUCGCCACGAAACCAGCGGCCCAUCCGGCACCUUGUGACACAAGUGAAGGAAACAACAUGCAAGGUGUACAGAAACAGCGUGGGAUCGACCAGAACGAUACCGCCUGGGCCGGAUGAAGAAGCAACUGAGAUGGAAUUAUGGAAGAAGAGGCUAACACCACACACAUCCAGAUUUCAUCGCUAGGCGCUUGGUACUACAACUUCUACAUCUCGACGACUUUGGACAAUAAAGCGAUGAUGCUCUACCUGGGCGUGGUCUAACUCUACCUCGGCCAGGUGUGGUGCCACGAGGAAGCACCCAAGCUGAAAGUUAUGACGAUCAGAUCAAAUACCAAAAGUUGUAACUCGGAUAUACCAUGAUAUUUUGAAUGGUGUGCUACCUUAAUAGCUUUCAGUGGUAUGUUGUCUGUUCAAUUCCGAAAAUAAGAUUUGUGGUAGGUUGACCUGUUGACAGCUUUCAAUGCUACUGUAUGUUGUUUGUUCAACUCCGGUCACCGAAGCUGAAUUUCCAUACAAAACCAAGAUUUGUUCUAGGUAAUUAUUUAGGCACCAAGCAACAAGUGCAUGGAUUUAAAAUAUGCACACAACGACAAACAUUUGUGUGGAUUUUCUGUAGGUGUCUCUGUUGACCUGCAUGUUUGCCUGAUAAGUGAAACAUAAGUGAUUCCAGUUCUACA